AGAGUUUGAUCAUGGCUCAGGAUGAACGCUGGCGGCGUGCUUAAUACAUGCAAGUCGAGCGAGGACCAUUUGGUGGCAACACCGGGUGGCUCCUAGCGGCGAACGGGUGAGUAACACGUGGGCAACCUACCCCCGACUCUGGGAUAAGCCCGGGAAACUGGGUCUAAUACCGGAUACGAGCCUCCUCCGCAUGGUGGAGGUUGGAAAGGGUCUCCGGUCGGGGAUGGGCCCGCGGCCUAUCAGCUUGUUGGCGGGGUAACGGCCCACCAAGGCGACGACGGGUAGCCGGCCUGAGAGGGUGAACGGCCACACUGGGACUGAGACACGGCCCAGACUCCUACGGGAGGCAGCAGUAGGGAAUCUUGCGCAAUGGGCGAAAGCCUGACGCAGCGACGCCGCGUGCGGGACGAAGGCCUUCGGGUUGUAAACCGCUUUCAGCAGGGACGAAGCGAAAGUGACGGUACCUGCAGAAGAAGGUCCGGCCAACUACGUGCCAGCAGCCGCGGUA
Molecule: ribosomal RNA, 508 nt
Filed under: uncultured Actinomycetes bacterium
Lineage: Bacteria; Bacillati; Actinomycetota; Actinomycetes
Description: bacterial SSU rRNA
Rfam family: Bacterial small subunit ribosomal RNA
Source: RNAcentral